RNAcentral lists this ribosomal RNA (537 nucleotides) under uncultured archaeon. RNAcentral's name for it is "bacterial SSU rRNA". It matches the Rfam family "Bacterial small subunit ribosomal RNA", at positions 509 to 1050 of the family's 1533-position model. The record is from RNAcentral.
CAGCCGCCGCGGUAAUACGUAGGUGGCGAGCGUUGUCCGGAAUUAUUGGGCGUAAAGGGUGCGUAGGCGGUCCAUUAAGUCUGAUUUGAAAGCCCAUGGCUUAACCAUGGAGGGAGAUUGGAAACUGGUGGACUUGAGGACAGGAGAGGAAGGUGGAAUUCCACGUGUAGCGGUGAAAUGCGUAGAGAUGUGGAGGAACACCAGUGGCGAAGGCGGCCUUCUGGCCUGUAACUGACGCUGAUGCACGAAAGCGUGGGUAGCAAACAGGAUUAGAUACCCUGGUAGUCCACGCCGUAAACGAUGAGUACUAAGUGUUGGGGGAAACCUCGGUGCUGAAGUUAACGCAUUAAGUACUCCGCCUGGGGAGUACGGUCGCAAGACUGAAACUCAAAGGAAUUGACGGGGACCCGCACAAGCGGUGGAGCAUGUGGUUUAAUUCGACGCAACGCGAAGAACCUUACCAGGCCUUGACAUCCCAAUGACGGCUGUAGAGAUACAGCGUUCCUUCGGGACAUUGGAGACAGGUGGUGCAUGGCC